GACGUAGGGCGCGAGCGUUGUCCGGAUUUAUUGGGCGUAAAGAGCUCGUAGGCGGCUUGUCGCGUCGGCUGUGAAAACCCGCGGCUCAACUGUGGGCGGGCAGCUGAUACGGGCAGGCUGGAGUUCGGUAGGGGAGACUGGAAUUCCUGGUGUAGCGGUGAAAUGCGCGGAUAUCAGGAGGAACACCGGUGGCGAAGGCGGGUCUCUGGGCCGAUACUGACGCUGAGGAGCGAAAGCGUGGGGAGCGAACAGG
Molecule: ribosomal RNA, 253 nt
Filed under: uncultured bacterium
Lineage: Bacteria
Description: partial 16S ribosomal RNA
Rfam family: Bacterial small subunit ribosomal RNA
Source: RNAcentral